GCAAGUCGAGGGGUAACAGGGAUUGCUUGCAAUCUGCUGACGACCGGCGCACGGGUGCGUAACGCGUAUAGAAUCUACCUUGUACUGAGGGAUAGCCCAGAGAAAUUUGGAUUAAUACCUCAUAGUAUGUAAAGAUGGCAUCAUUUUUACAUUAAAGGUUACGGUAUAAGAUGACUAUGCGUCCUAUUAGCUAGAUGGUGUGGUAACGGCACACCAUGGCAACGAUAGGUAGGGGCCCUGAGAGGGGGAUC
RNAcentral lists this ribosomal RNA (251 nucleotides) under uncultured bacterium. Its description in RNAcentral is "partial 16S ribosomal RNA". It matches the Rfam family "Bacterial small subunit ribosomal RNA", at positions 57 to 305 of the family's 1533-position model. The record is from RNAcentral.